Molecule: ribosomal RNA, 276 nt
Filed under: uncultured prokaryote
Description: partial 16S ribosomal RNA
Rfam family: Bacterial small subunit ribosomal RNA
Source: RNAcentral
UACGUAGGUGGCGAGCGUUAUCCGGAAUUACUGGGCGUAAAGGGUGCGUAGGUGGUUUCUUAAGUCAGAGGUGAAAGGCUACGGCUCAACCGUAGUAAGCCUUUGAAACUGGGAAACUUGAGUGCAGGAGAGGAGAGUGGAAUUCCUAGUGUAGCGGUGAAAUGCGUAGAUAUUAGGAGGAACACCAGUUGCGAAAGCGGCUCUCUGGACUGUAACUGACACUGAGGCACAAAAGCGUGGGAAGCAAACAGGAUUAGAUACCCUGGUAGUCCCUGA